CUCGGUCGGUUCUUCUCUCCAGUUCCGCCUCCGUCAAAACCCUAAGAUGCAAAUUCUUCCGAACAAGAAGAAGAAGAUCUAAUCAGUUGGAGCUAGAUCCAUUCAAUUGGUCUUAUGUUUCAUUGAAGCCUUCAACUGUGAUAGUGAUUCUUGAGUUGAAGGCUGAUUUUCCUUGCUCUUUCUUCUCAUGUAUUUCCAUUUUUACAGUAGUUUCUUUUGCAUAGGUUCUUGUAUUCUUUCUAUCUUUUUCUCUCAAUAGUUUAAAAAUUCUGAAACUUUAUUUUUAAGGGGUUUUGGUGAGAUUGAUGACUAUGGAGAUCUUGUGUUGUUCGUGGUGAUAACGUUUUAUCUAAUCUUUGGUUUUUGAACCUUUUCUGUGGGUUUUAUUUCGUGUUUAUGUUAUAAUUUUUGAUGUUUUUUAGGACAUUUUUCUGUUCAUUUGCAAUUUCGGAUUUAAAGCUGAAUUAAAUUGAAUAUCCGUUUAAUUUCAUCAUAUAACAAUGGGGGAUUUGGAUUGUACACUUUGAUAUUGGUGCUUUUGGUAUCUGGUAACAAAAUCGAUUCAAUUUCAAUUUUUCUUCUUCAUUUUUGUAAUUUAAUUUUUUGGGUUUUUGGGUUUUUGGGCUUGGGAUUUGUGUAGGUCAGAGAAGACUAAUAGCGAAGUGCAUCAAGUGGACUUGUCGGAAUAUUGUCGUUCUUGCUUGGUUCAGGUGGAUUUUGGCAAUUCCUCUCUGUAAUGCAGUUAAGCUACUGAUUUUAUGGGUUGUAGCAACAACAAGAUAAGUUGCUCUUGGAUUUUACUUUGAGCACUCUUAAAGUAGCUUUGAAUUGUGGAUGGAGAUUGAUUAAUGAAGUUUAUGAUAAAUGAAUGUGUCGUGCAGUUUCUUUGAGCUAUUCAAAUUGUUACAGUGAAGAGGUGAUGAUGAACAUAAAUUGAAUUUGGUAUAAGAAACAAGGAGCAACAUUCAAGUCUAAUCGCAAUACAGACAUUACACCAAACCAAAUGAGGGCAUUUAAGAAGUACUGCUUGUUGAAUGGUCUGAACUCUGAUGCAACACCAAAUGGGUAUUCUACCAGUAGAUCACUAGAGGAUAUUCUUAUGUUGGAUCCCCAAACUGCACCUCUGGUUCCACCACUAAAUCUCAGUACGAAGGGCGAAGUGGUUUAUUAUGUUGAUGGUUCCCAUCAGGUCAGCAAUCUUCUGCAGCAAGCUCUCCUCCUCAUGGGCGUCCUGUACCAGUUCUGUAACAAGAGCCACAGUUAACCAAAGCUCAUCUUUUUUAUGAAAUGCAUGGAUGAAACUGAAGGGCUGUCAGUAGAUACCUUAUUUAUUAACCACGAGGUGUACCAGCAGUGAUCUUCCCAUUUUGGUUCCUGCUAGUUUUAGUUGAUAGAAACUGCCAGUUCCGCCGUUUCGAAGCGUGACUCAAAAUGGAUGACUUGGCUGAAACAAAUGUUGGCGUUUUCGUUUUGAUGUUUUUUUUCUUCUUUCUUACUCUAUAAGAAGAAUGGCCUUAACAUAACUUAGUUACUUAUGUGCUUUACUAUGUUCAGUGCGCACUCCUCAAAUUGAUGGGAAGGAGAUAUUCCGCCAAGCCAGGUCUGACUACUACGGGGUUCAGUUCUUAGUCACGAUUUUUAUUGAAAAUUUCGAAAGUUUACAACUAUACGGAAUUGUGGAUAUUUGGAACUGCAGGAGUACUUUGUCUUAUGAGCAGUUCGGCGCAUUUCUUUCCAACAUCAAGGAGCUGAACUGUCAAAAUCAAACUCGAGAGGAAGGCAUAAUAAUUAUUUGGUACAGACAUGAGACAACAAAGAUCAUUACUUAUCACUCCAAGGGCUGCUUAUUCGUAACAACCAUUAGGACUUAAAGGCGUAUUCCAAAGAUGGUGCAUCAUAAUAGAAUUGCGCAAAAGAAUCCAAAGAAACCAAAUUGGCACCUUCUAAUAAUUGAAAAGGUUGGAAAUUUGGGAUGCGAAGAGAUUGAAUGGGAGUAAAAGAGAAGUUGUUGCUAGUCACUGGGUACACCAUUCUCUCUAUCAUGUUACAUGAUCUGAUACCAUUAGUUGUUACCCCCAACCGUCCAAGCCGCCAUCUAGUGUAUAUUUGUUGGUUCAUGUAUGUUGUGUAACCUUUACAGUGGAUUACAAGUUUAACUAAACGGAAUAUGUCCGGUUUUUUCCAAA
Molecule: long non-coding RNA, 2186 nt
Organism: Papaver somniferum (opium poppy)
Lineage: Eukaryota; Viridiplantae; Streptophyta; Magnoliopsida; Ranunculales; Papaveraceae
Exons: 5
Source: RefSeq, a predicted model, not a curated record